Molecule: ribosomal RNA, 2802 nt
Filed under: Salmonella enterica subsp. enterica serovar Enteritidis
Lineage: Bacteria; Pseudomonadati; Pseudomonadota; Gammaproteobacteria; Enterobacterales; Enterobacteriaceae
Description: bacterial LSU rRNA
Rfam family: Bacterial large subunit ribosomal RNA
Source: RNAcentral
GGGUUGUGAGGUUAAGCGACUAAGCGUACACGGUGGAUGCCCUGGCAGUCAGAGGCGAUGAAGGGCGUGCUAAUCUGCGAUAAGCGCCGGUAAGGUGAUAUGAACCGUUAUAACCGGCGAUACCCGAAUGGGGAAACCCAGUGUGACUCGUCACACUAUCAUUAACUGAAUCCAUAGGUUAAUGAGGCGAACCGGGGGAACUGAAACAUCUAAGUACCCCGAGGAAAAGAAAUCAACCGAGAUUCCCCCAGUAGCGGCGAGCGAACGGGGAGGAGCCCAGAGCCUGAAUCAGCAUGUGUGUUAGUGGAAGCGUCUGGAAAGGCGCGCGAUACAGGGUGACAGCCCCGUACACAAAAGCGCAUGUGCUGUGAGCUCGAUGAGUAGGGCGGGACACGUGGUAUCCUGUCUGAAUAUGGGGGGACCAUCCUCCAAGGCUAAAUACUCCUGACUGACCGAUAGUGAACCAGUACCGUGAGGGAAAGGCGAAAAGAACCCCGGCGAGGGGAGUGAAAAAGAACCUGAAACCGUGUACGUACAAGCAGUGGGAGCNNNNNNNNNNNNNNNNNNNNNNNNNNNNNNNNNNNNNNNNNGGGCGUUAAGUUGCAGGGUAUAGACCCGAAACCCGGUGAUCUAGCCAUGGGCAGGUUGAAGGUUGGGUAACACUAACUGGAGGACCGAACCGACUAAUGUUGAAAAAUUAGCGGAUGACCUGUGGCUGGGGGUGAAAGGCCAAUCAAACCGGGAGAUAGCUGGUUCUCCCCGAAAGCUAUUUAGGUAGCGCCUCGUGAAUUCAUCUCCGGGGGUAGAGCACUGUUUCGGCUAGGGGGCCAUCCCGGCUUACCAACCCGAUGCAAACUGCGAAUACCGGAGAAUGUUAUCACGGGAGACACACGGCGGGUGCUAACGUCCGUCGUGAAGAGGGAAACAACCCAGACCGCCAGCUAAGGUCCCAAAGUCAUGGUUAAGUGGGAAACGAUGUGGGAAGGCCCAGACAGCCAGGAUGUUGGCUUAGAAGCAGCCAUCAUUUAAAGAAAGCGUAAUAGCUCACUGGUCGAGUCGGCCUGCGCGGAAGAUGUAACGGGGCUAAACCAUGCACCGAAGCUGCGGCAGCGANNGCUGGAGGUAUCAGAAGUGCGAAUGCUGACAUAAGUAACGAUAAAGCGGGUGAAAAGCCCGCUCGCCGGAAGACCAAGGGUUCCUGUCCAACGUUAAUCGGGGCAGGGUGAGUCGACCCCUAAGGCGAGGCCGAAAGGCGUAGUCGAUGGGAAACGGGUUAAUAUUCCCGUACUUGGUGUUACUGCGAAGGGGGGACGGAGAAGGCUAUGUUGGCCGGGCGACGGUUGUCCCGGUUUAAGCGUGUAGGUGUGUGUUCCAGGUAAAUCCGGUUCACUUUAACACUGAGGCGUGACGACGAGGCACUACGGUGCUGAAGCAACAAAUGCCCUGCUUCCAGGAAAAGCCUCUAAGCAUCAGGUAACAUCAAAUCGUACCCCAAACCGACACAGGUGGUCAGGUAGAGAAUACCAAGGCGCUUGAGAGAACUCGGGUGAAGGAACUAGGCAAAAUGGUGCCGUAACUUCGGGAGAAGGCACGCUGACACGUAGGUGAAGUGAUUUACUCAUGGAGCUGAAGUCAGUCGAAGAUACCAGCUGGCUGCAACUGUUUAUUAAAAACACAGCACUGUGCAAACACGAAAGUGGACGUAUACGGUGUGACGCCUGCCCGGUGCCGGAAGGUUAAUUGAUGGGGUCAGCGCAAGCGAAGCUCCUGAUCGAAGCCCCGGUAAACGGCGGCCGUAACUAUAACGGUCCUAAGGUAGCGAAAUUCCUUGUCGGGUAAGUUCCGACCUGCACGAAUGGCGUAAUGAUGGCCAGGCUGUCUCCACCCGAGACUCAGUGAAAUUGAACUCGCUGUGAAGAUGCAGUGUACCCGCGGCAAGACGGAAAGACCCCGUGAACCUUUACUAUAGCUUGACACUGAACAUUGAGCCUUGAUGUGUAGGAUAGGUGGGAGGCUUUGAAGUGUGGACGCCAGUCUGCAUGGAGCCGACCUUGAAAUACCACCCUUUAAUGUUUGAUGUUCUAACGUGGACCCGUUACCCGGGUUGCGGACAGUGUCUGGUGGGUAGUUUGACUGGGGCGGUCUCCUCCUAAAGAGUAACGGAGGAGCACGAAGGUUGGCUAAUCCUGGUCGGACAUCAGGAGGUUAGUGCAAUGGCAUAAGCCAGCUUGACUGCGAGCGUGACGGCGCGAGCAGGUGCGAAAGCAGGUCAUAGUGAUCCGGUGGUUCUGAAUGGAAGGGCCAUCGCUCAACGGAUAAAAGGUACUCCGGGGAUAACAGGCUGAUACCGCCCAAGAGUUCAUAUCGACGGCGGUGUUUGGCACCUCGAUGUCGGCUCAUCACAUCCUGGGGCUGAAGUAGGUCCCAAGGGUAUGGCUGUUCGCCAUUUAAAGUGGUACGCGAGCUGGGUUUAGAACGUCGUGAGACAGUUCGGUCCCUAUCUGCCGUGGGCGCUGGAGAACUGAGGGGGGCUGCUCCUAGUACGAGAGGACCGGAGUGGACGCAUCACUGGUGUUCGGGUUGUCAUGCCAAUGGCACUGCCCGGUAGCUAAAUGCGGAAGAGAUAAGUGCUGAAAGCAUCUAAGCACGAAACUUGCCCCGAGAUGAGUUCUCCCUGAGACUUAGAGUCUCCUGAAGGAACGUUGAAGACGACGACGUUGAUAGGCCGGGUGUGUAAGCGCAGCGAUGCGUUGAGCUAACCGGUACUAAUGAACCGUGAGGCUUAACCUUACAACGCCGAAG